Molecule: ribosomal RNA, 468 nt
Filed under: uncultured bacterium
Lineage: Bacteria
Description: partial 16S ribosomal RNA
Rfam family: Bacterial small subunit ribosomal RNA
Source: RNAcentral
GACGAACGCUGGCGGCGUGCUUAACACAUGCAAGUCGAACGGAAAGGCCCUGCUUUUGUGGGGUGCUCGAGUGGCGAACGGGUGAGUAACACGUGAGUAACCUGCCCUUGACUUUGGGAUAACUUCAGGAAACUGGGGCUAAUACCGGAUAGGAGCUCCUGCUGCAUGGUGGGGGUUGGAAAGUUUCGGCGGUUGGGGAUGGACUCGCGGCGUAUCAGCUUGUUGGUGGGGUAGUGGCUUACCAAGGCUUUGACGGGUAGCCGGCCUGGGAGGGUGACCGGCCACAUUGGGACUGGAAUACGGCCCAGACUCCUACGGGAGGCAGCAGUGGGGAAUAUUGCACAAUGGGCGGAAGCCUGAUGCAGCAACGCCGCGUGCGGGAUGACGGCCUUCGGGUUGUAAACCGCUUUCGCCUGUGACGAAGCGUGAGUGACGGUAAUGGGUAAAGAAGCACCGGCUAACUACGUG